AUGCCCCCCGCUGUGUUCUUUUUGCUUAGAAUUGACUUGGCUAUGCGGGCUCUCUUUUGGUUCCAUAUGAAGUUCAUGGUGGUUUUUUCCAGUUCUGUGAAGAAAGUCAGUGGUAGCUUGAUGGGGAUAGCGUUGAUUCUGUGGUGUAGACGAAUGCUUGUGAUUUUUGCACAUUGAUUUUAUAUCCUGAGACUUUGCUGAAGUUGCUUAUCAGUUUCAGGAGUUUUUGGGCUGAGAUGAUGGGGUCUUCUAGGUAUACUAUCAUGUCGUUUGCAAAUAGAGACAAUUUGGCUUCCACCUUUCCUAUUUGAAUACCCUUUAUUUCUUUUUCUUGCCUGAUUCUCUGGCUAGAACUUCCCGUACUAUAUUGAAUAGGAGUGGUGAAAGAGGGCAUCCUUGUCUAGUGCCAGAUUUCAAAGGGAAUGCUUCCAGUUGUUGCCCAUUCAGUAUGAUAUUGGCUGUUGGUUUGUCAUAAAUAGCUUUUAUUACUUUGAGAUACGUUCCAUCGAUACCGAGUUUAUUGAGGGUUUUUAGCAUAAAGGGCUGUUGAAUUUUGUCAAAUGCCUUCUCUGCGUCAAUUGAGAUAAUCAUGUGGUUUUUGUUUUUGGUUCUGUUUAUGUGGUGAAUUACGUUGAUAGACUUGCGUAUGUUGAACCAGCCUUGCAUCCCCGGGAUGAAUCCUACUUGAUCAUGGUGAAUAAGUUUUUUGAUUUGCUGUUGCAUUUGGCUUGCCAAUAUUUUAUUGAAGAUUUUUGCAUCUAUGUUCAUUAUGGAUAUUGGCGUGAAGUUUUCUUUUCUUGUUGGGUCUCUGCCAGGUUUUGGUAUCAGAAUGAUGUUGGUCUCGUAAAAUGAUUUGGGAAGGAUUUUCUCUUUUUGGAUUGUUUGAAAUAGUUUUAGAAGGAAUGGUACCAGCUCCUCUUUGUGUGUCUGGUAGAAUUUGGCUGUGAACCCGUCUGGACCUGGGCUUUUUUUGUGUGGUAGGCUCUUAAUUGUUGCCUCGACUUCUGACCUUGCUAUUAGUCUAUUCAUAGUUUCAGCUUCCUUCUGGUUUAGGCUUGGGAAGACACAGGAGUCCAGGAAUUUAUCCAUUUCUUCCAGGUUUACUAGUUUAUGUGCAUAGAGUUGUUUGUAAUAUUCUCUGAUGAUGGUUUGAAUUUCUGUGGAAUCUGUGGUGAUUUCCCCUUUAUCAUUUUUUAUUGCAUCUGUUUGGUUGUUCUCUCUUUUCUUUUUAAUCAAUCUUGCUAGUGGUCGGUCUAUUUUGUUGAUCUUUUCAAAAAACCAGCUCUUGGAUUUAUUGAUUUUUUUGAAGGGUUUUUUGUUUCUCAAUCUUCUUCAGUUCAGCUCUGAUCUUAGUUAUUUCUUGUCUUCUGCUGGGUUUU
This 1379-nucleotide long non-coding RNA is filed under the name Callithrix jacchus (white-tufted-ear marmoset). Its description in RNAcentral is "lncRNA (ENSCJAG00000059261.2)". Lineage: Eukaryota; Metazoa; Chordata; Mammalia; Primates; Cebidae. The record is from RNAcentral.